AAGUUCCUUCGGGAAUGAGUAGAGUGGCGCACGGGUGAGUAACGCGUGGAUAAUCUACCGGGGAGUGAGGAAUAACAGUUGGAAACGACUGCUAAUACCGCAUACGCUGCAUAUUAUGACUUAUGCAGGAAAGGAGGCCUCUGCAUAUGCUUCCGCUUUUCGAUGAGUCCGCGUCCCAUUAGCUGGUUGGGGGGGUAACGGCCCACCAAGGCGACGAUGGGUAGCUGGUCUGAGAGGAUGAUCAGCCACACUGGGACUGGAACACGGCCCAGACUCCUACGGGAGGCAGCAGUGGGGAAUAUUGCGCAAUGGGCGAAAGCCUGACGCAGCGACGCCGCGUGAGGGAUGAAGGUUCUCGGAUCGUAAACCUCUGUCAGAAGGGAAGAAAUUAUAUCAUGCUAAUCAGUGGUGUAUUGACGGUACCUUCAAAGGAAGCACCGGCUAACUCCGUGCCAGCAGCCGCGGUAAUACGGAGGGUGCGAGCGUUAAUCGGAAUUACUGGGCGUAAAGCGCACGUAGGCUGUAUGACAAGUCAAGGGUGAAAUGCCACGGCUCAACCGUGGAACUGCCUUUGAGACUGUCAAACUGGAGUAUGUGAGAGGGCGGCGGAAUUCCUGGUGUAGGAGUGAAAUCCGUAGAUAUCAGGAGGAACAUCAGUGGCGAAGGCGGCCGCCUGGCACAAAACUGACGCUGAGGUGCGAAAGCGUGGGUAGCAAACA
RNAcentral lists this ribosomal RNA (719 nucleotides) under uncultured bacterium. RNAcentral describes it as "bacterial SSU rRNA". It matches the Rfam family "Bacterial small subunit ribosomal RNA", at positions 72 to 774 of the family's 1533-position model. The record is from RNAcentral.